AAGAAGGAGAAAUAUCUCACCUGUGCCAUUAUGAUUACAGGUGCUACCUGUUGUUCGGAAGCCAUGACGAGAGGUUACAUGGUCAACAGCGGCACUGAGUCAUGAAACCGAAUAAUACGUCAAUGCUGACAAGUUUCUUUUUACACAAAGGUGAAAGGAAUAAAAGCUCUCCAAGCAAUGAGAAAGAAAAGGCAAGGAAAAGAAGGCAAAGCAAGAAAAAGAGAAAAUCGGGUGCUCCUGGAUGCCCCUCUUAGUGCCCUA
This 261-nucleotide long non-coding RNA is filed under the name Mustela putorius furo (domestic ferret). RNAcentral's name for it is "lncRNA (ENSMPUG00000030690.1)". Lineage: Eukaryota; Metazoa; Chordata; Mammalia; Carnivora; Mustelidae. The record is from RNAcentral.